This is a non-coding RNA of Phalacrocorax carbo (great cormorant), 2308 nucleotides long. The record is from RefSeq and is a predicted model, not a curated record. NCBI's taxonomy places the organism in Eukaryota, Metazoa, Chordata, Aves, Suliformes, Phalacrocoracidae.
CUGAUAAUUAGUUGAAACUUAGCAUUCAAGAAUACUGCCUUUGUUAAAUGCCUGCAGGAUGAGGUACAUAUGUACAGUGCCAUUGAGAAUCUGCUCAAGGGUUUACAUGAAGUUGGAACACGGCUUUCAUGAGCUGUCAGCAUAAAAUCAAGGAAAGAGCCUUGAGAGCUUUGAAAGGAAAAAUCUUUUAUCAAGGCCCACCUGUCCUUCCUGUGCCUCUAUACAUAUAUGGUUUUUAGGUAGUAUGGAGAAGACAACUCGGGCACCAGUAUUUUUCACUUGCUUUCCCAGAGCUUUACAGUCUUACUUAGUUCUGCCCAGACUCUGGCUUGCAGCAUCAUUUUGGGAUGUUAAAACGAUUCAAGGUAGAAAAGAGCAAGUCUGAACAUGAAGAAGCAUUUUCCUGAGGAUCAUGGCCUAGGAAAAUGGACAGUUGUGUUUUCGUACAGACAUAGUCACUCUAUUACAAGGUAUCUUGUAAUUAGGUGCAGUAAGUAUGAAUAGAUUCAUAUUCAGAAUGGAAGAAUGCUGUUUGGUUUUCUCCACUCAUAUUAAAGGUGAUAGCUGUAUAGCAAAUGGAGCUUUAUUGAACUAUUUUCCAAUAGGGCAGAGCUGGUAUAAAUUCAGGAACACACUGUGGCUUUGGUACAGGUGCAUGGGAGGAUUCCUAUGACUACGUACAGGCAACGAAAUAAUAACCACCACCACCACCCUGCCAGCCAAAUUUCUAUCUUGUGAGAAAUUCUGAUGUUUCCAAAUGGGUUUUGUUCUGAAAUAGGAAAAAACCAAACACCAACACUUUAUAGAAUAAAAAGUUCAGGCAACUUUCAUUAAGAAAUUAUGUCCUCUGGAGGAAUAUAGCUGUCAUAUUAUUUCUUUCCUACACUUUACUAUUUUACUAUAGGAGGGUUUGCAGGACAGCAUGAAAAACUGAUCCAGCUCAGGCAACCAGAGAAAAGCACAUGGCUUUGUGCCAUGUUGAAAGAAGCGUGCCAGCAGGUCAAGGGAGGUGAUUCUGCCCCUCUACUCCGCUCUGGUGAGACCCCACCUGCAGUGCUGCGUCCAGCUCUGGGGCCCUCAGCACAAGAAAGGACAUGGAGCUGUCAGAGCAGGUCCAGAGGAGGGCCACAAAAAUGAUCCAAGGCCUGGAGCACCUCUCCUGUGAAGAAAGGCUGAGAGAGUUGGGGUUGUUCAGCCUGCAGAAGAGAAGGCUGCACCAUUUCAGUACUUAAACAGGGACUAUAGAAAAGAUGGGGCAAUCUCUUUAGCAAGGCCUGUUGUGACAGGACAAGGGGUGAUGGUUUUAAACUAAAGUAAGGUAGAUUUAGACUGGAUAUAAGGAAAAGAUAUUUUACUAUGAGGGUGGUGAAACACUGGAACAGGUUUCCCAGAGAAGCGGUAGAUGCCCCAUUCCUGGAAAGAUUCAAGGUCAGGUUGGAUGGGGCUCUGAGCAACCUGAUCCUGUUGAAGAUGCAGGGGGGUUGAACCAGAUGACCUCUAAAAGUCCCUUCCAACCUAAACCAUUCUAUGAUUCUAUGUUACUCCCCAUUGUGCAGGGAAAUUGUAUACUUCUCCUUUUAAGGGCUCUUUCUCCAUCAAAAAGAAAAACUGAAUUCUGAAACACUUGAGUUCAACAACUCUCAGUUCUUUAUGGUGGCCUGCAGGAUUCACUAACAAUAUUUGCUAUACCAUGGGGCAGGUUUCUUACAUUAAAUUAAGAUGCAGGGUAAAUAAGAAUGCACUGGGCAAAGUUCAUUUUUAGUAAAGCUCUACUAAGCUCACUUGUAUACCAGUCAAUGAAUUUGGGCUUACUAUUCUUUGUAUUCCUCAUGACUGACUCAGAAGCAUCCUUGAUAUUAAUUUUGUAGUAAAAUCAGCUUGGCCCAUUAUUUUCAAAGGUAUCUUUGCAAACAUAUAACAGGAUUAUUUUGCACUUAAUUGAUUUAUUAGUUUGUAUUUUGUCCUUAGAUUUCUAGUCUAAUUUCUGGGUGCGGUAAAAGGUAAUCUCUUAUGCCCUAAGCAUGCUGGAUUCUCAGGAUGUGUUUUGGACAAUAUGGACAAUAUCAACCACUGUAUCUAUCUUUUGUUAGCAUUUUGCCUAAUGCAUAAUAAAAAUAGAUGCUCUUUUCCUUACAUUAAAUGCUCUGAAAUAACUUCUUAAUUGCUUAAGUUAGAAAUAAUAACAGACAGAAAAGCAAAAUCUCCUUACACGUUGUGUUGUAGAACCACAUGAACAAAGAAACCAAUAAAAAUUAUCACAGCCCAAAAAUGUAAUUAAAAGUUCUUUUAUUUGUGUCUCCACCCAGGG